CUGUGUCUGGUAUUCGUCGGUCAUCUAUAAACUUUUCAAAUUUUUACAUUCAUGAGAAUUAUUCCUAGUUUGAAUAAAAAUCCCUGCAAGAUACAUCUUUUCUUUCAGAAAUUGUGCCAGAAAAGUUUGAAGUAGCUAUGGGAAUGAUCAACAUUGAACUUGCUGAGGCUCUCUUCCUGAAAGUGACUUGACCAGAUAUUUGGCUACCCAGUAUGAGCUUUUUACCAUAUCCAUAGUAUCUUGCUGCUAAAUGAAAGAAUUAGUGUGGAGGAGCAGAGAAAAGGGCACCUCAACAUGUUCAAGGUCAAGCAGAAAUUAGGAGCUAGGUGUGCUUCUCCAGAGCUGAAAACUUCUUGGCAUGAAGAGAAGAAGAAGCAAGAAAAAGCAGUUUUAAAUAUUGAUUACGUCUUCAUAGUACAAAAAAUGAUUCUAAAGAUAAUACUAUCUAUGAAAUUAGAAAGCUGAAGUUGCGUUCUGAUGAAUGUGAGAAUGUCUUCAAAGAACAGGACACCAAAAGUGCCAUUCUCAAAUCAAAGCACUCUAAAAGGCAGAGCAUAAGAAGAACUAGGACAAAUAAAGAAUCUAAAAGAGUCAAACCUAUGGAUGUAUUAAUUGAACAGAGAUGGGCUAUUAGAGAUGAAAUAUCUGAGUUGCUACUGUUUUGCACAAAUUCAAUGUUAGAUAAGAAAAAUAUACCUAGUGUUGUAUUUUUGACAGUGAAAGUUUUUUCUUAUGCUUGAUUACAGAU
Long non-coding RNA from Saccostrea cuccullata (small rock oyster), 748 nucleotides. RefSeq lists it as uncharacterized. The transcript is spliced from 3 exons. Lineage: Eukaryota; Metazoa; Mollusca; Bivalvia; Ostreida; Ostreidae. The record is from RefSeq and is a predicted model, not a curated record.